GACGAACGCUGGCGGCGUGCUUAACACAUGCAAGUCGAACGGAAAGGCCCUGCUUUUGUGGGGUGCCCGAGUGGCGAACGGGUGAGUAACACGUGAGUAACCUGCCCUUGACUUUGGGAUAACUUCAGGAAACUGGGGCUAAUACCGGAUAGGAGCUCCUGCUGCAUGGUGGGGGUUGGAAAGUUUCGGCGGUUGGGGAUGGACUCGCGGCUUAUCAGCUUGUUGGUGGGGUAGUGGCUUACCAAGGCUUUGACGGGUAGCCGGCCUGAGAGGGUGACCGGCCACAUUGGGACUGAGAUACGGCCCAGACUCCUACGGGAGGCAGCAGUGGGGAAUAUUGCACAAUGGGCGGAAGCCUGAUGCAGCAACGCCGCGUGCGGGAUGACGGCCUUCGGGUUGUAAACCGCUUUCGCCUGUGACGAAGCGUGAGUGACGGUAAUGGGUAAAGAAGCACCGGCUAACUACGUGCCAGCAGCCGCGGUGAUACGUAGGGUGCGAGCGUUGUCCGGAUUUAUUGGGCGUAAAGGGCUCGUAGGUGGUUGAUCGCGUCGGAAGUGUAAUCUUGGGGCUUAACCCUGAGCGUGCUUUCGAUACGGGUUGACUUGAGGAAGGUAGGGGAGAAUGGAAUUCCUGGUGGAGCGGUGGAAUGCGCAGAUAUCAGGAGGAACACCAGUGGCGAAGGCGGUUCUCUGGGCCUUUCCUGACGCUGAGGAGCGAAAGCGUGGGGAGCGAACAGGCUUAGAUACCCUGGUAGUCCACGCUGUAAACGGUGGGUACUAGGUGUGGGGUCCAUUCCACGGGUUCCGUGCCGUAGCUAACGCUUUAAGUACCCCGCCUGGGGAGUACGGCCGCAAGGCUAAAACUCAAAGGAAUUGACGGGGCCCCGCACAAGCGGCGGAGCAUGCGGAUUAAUUCGAUGCAACGCGUAGAACCUUACCUGGGUUUGACAUGGAUCGGGAGUGCUCAGAGAUGGGUGUGCCUCUUUUGGGGUCGGUUCACAGGUGGUGCAUGCCUGUCGUCAGCUCGUGUCGUGAGAUGUUGGGUUAAGUCCCGCAACGAGCGCAACCCUUGUUCACUGUUGCCAGCACGUUAUGGUGGGGACUCAGUGGAGACCGCCGGGGUCAACUCGGAGGAAGGUGGGGAUGACGUCAAGUCCUCAUGCCCCUUAUGUCCAGGGCUUCACGCAUGCUACAAUGGCUGGUACAGAGAGUGGCGAGCCUGUGAGGGUGAGCGAAUCUCGGAAAGCCGGUCUCAGUUCGGAUUGGGGUCCGCAACUCGACCUCAUGAAGUCGGAGUCGCUAGUAAUCGCAGAUCAGCAACGCUGCGGUGAUAAAUUCCCGGGGCU
This 1345-nucleotide ribosomal RNA is filed under the name uncultured bacterium. RNAcentral's name for it is "bacterial SSU rRNA". It matches the Rfam family "Bacterial small subunit ribosomal RNA", at positions 28 to 1381 of the family's 1533-position model. The record is from RNAcentral.